RNAcentral lists this ribosomal RNA (465 nucleotides) under uncultured bacterium. Its description in RNAcentral is "partial 16S ribosomal RNA". It matches the Rfam family "Bacterial small subunit ribosomal RNA", at positions 338 to 795 of the family's 1533-position model. The record is from RNAcentral.
CCUACGGGAGGCUGCAGUGGGGAAUAUUGCGCAAUGGGCGAAAGCCUGACGCAGCGACGCCGCGUGAGGGAUGAAGGUCUUCGGAUCGUAAACCUCUGUCAGCAGGGAAGACUGGUCACUGUGCUAAUCAGCAGUGAAUUGACGGUACCUGCAAAGGAAGCACCGGCUAACUCCGUGCCAGCAGCCGCGGUAAUACGGGGGGUGCGAGCGUUAAUCGGAAUUACUGGGCGUAAAGCGCUCGUAGGCGGUAUGUCAAGUCAAGGGUGAAAUCCCCGCGCUCAACGUGGGAACUGCCUUUGAAACUGGCAAACUGGCGUGUGUGAGAGGAGAGUGGAAUUCCAGGUGUAGGAGUGAAAUCCGUAGAGAUCUGGAGGAACAUCAGUGGCGAAGGCGACUAUCUGGCACAUAACUGACGCUGAGGAGCGAAAGCGUGGGUAGCAAACAGGAUUAGAUACCCGAGUAGUC